UGCAAGUCAAGGGGGCCCAGCAAUGGGCAACCGGCGAACGGGUGCGUAACACGUGAGCAACCUACCGAAAUGUGGGGGAUAGCCGGCCUAACGGCCGAGUAAUACCGCAUACGCUCUCGAUGAGGCAUUUCAUUGAGAGGAAACCUACGGGACAUUUCGAGGGGCUCGCGGCCUAUCAGCUAGUUGGAGAGGUAACGGCUCACCAAGGCAACGACGGGUAGCUGGUCUGAGAGGAUGGCCAGCCACAUUGGGACUGAGAUACGGCCCAGACUCCUACGGGAGGCAGCAGUGGGGAAUCUUGCGCAAUGGCCUAACGGCUGACGCAGCGACGCCGCGUGUAGGAUGAAGCUCUUCGGAGUGUAAACUACUGUUGCCCGGGACGAAUAGCUCGAUUAAUCGAGCCUGACGGUACCGGGUGAGGAAGCACCGGCUAACUCCGUGCCAGCAGCCGCGGUAAUACGGGGGGUGCGAGCGUUGUCCGGAAUCACUGGGCGUAAAGGGCGCGUAGGUGGUUUGAUAAGGGUGUGGUGAAAGCCCGGAGCUCAACUCCGGGUCUGCCGUGCCGACUGUCAAACUCGAGGACUGUAGAGGCAGACGGAAUUCCGGGUGUAGCGGUGGAAUGCGUAGAGAUCCGGAGGAAGACCGGUGGCGAAGGCGGUCUGCUGGGCAGUUUCUGACACUGAGGCGCGACAGCGUGGGGAGCAAACAGGAUUAGAUACCCUGGUAGUCCACGCCGUAAACGAUGGGUACUAGGUGCCUGGGGGAGCGACCCUCUGGGUGCCGGCGCUAACGCAGGAAGUACCCCGCCUGGGGAGUACGACCGCAAGGUUGAAACUCAAAGGAAUUGACGGGGGCCCGCACAAGCGGUGGAGCAUGUGGUUUAAUUCGACGCAACGCGAAGAACCUUACCUAGGCUUGACAUGUACGAGCAAGCUC
This 936-nucleotide ribosomal RNA is filed under the name uncultured Gemmatimonas sp. RNAcentral describes it as "bacterial SSU rRNA". It matches the Rfam family "Bacterial small subunit ribosomal RNA", at positions 56 to 1000 of the family's 1533-position model. The record is from RNAcentral. Lineage: Bacteria; Pseudomonadati; Gemmatimonadota; Gemmatimonadia; Gemmatimonadales; Gemmatimonadaceae.